GGGAACCUUCCACGGUUUCUGCGACGCAGCUAACGCAUUAAGCGCCCCGCCUGGGGAGUACGAUCGCAAGACUAAAACUCAAAGGAAUUGACGGGGCCCCGCACAAGCAGCGGAGCAUGCGGCUUAAUUCGACGCAACGCGAAGAACCUUACCAAGGCUUGACAUAUACAGGAAUAUGGCAGAGAUGUCAAAGCGGUAAAACGUCUGUAUACAGGUGGUGCAUGGUUGUCGUCAGCUCGUGUCGUGAGAUGUUGGGUUAAGUCCCGCAACGAGCGCAACCCUCGUUCUGUGUUGCCAGCAUUUAGUUGGGGACUCACAGGAGACUGCCGGGGUUAACUCGGAGGAAGGUGGGGAUGACGUCAAAUCAUCAUGCCCCUUAUGUCUUGGGCUGCACGCAUGCUACAAUGGCUGGUACAAAGGGCUGCAAUACUGCAAAGUGGAGCGAAUCCCAAAAAGCCAGUCUCAGUUCGGAUUGGGGUCUGCAACUCGACCCCAUGAAGUCGGAGUUGCUAGUAAUCGUAGAUCAGCAACGCUACGGUGAAUGCGUUCCCGGGGCUUGUACACACCGCCCGUCACAUCACGAAAGUCGGUAACACCCAAAGUCAGUGGCCCAACCGCAAGGAGGGAGCUGCCAAAG
This 637-nucleotide ribosomal RNA is filed under the name uncultured Actinomycetes bacterium. RNAcentral describes it as "bacterial SSU rRNA". It matches the Rfam family "Bacterial small subunit ribosomal RNA", at positions 824 to 1461 of the family's 1533-position model. The record is from RNAcentral. Lineage: Bacteria; Bacillati; Actinomycetota; Actinomycetes.